Molecule: ribosomal RNA, 253 nt
Filed under: uncultured bacterium
Lineage: Bacteria
Description: partial 16S ribosomal RNA
Rfam family: Bacterial small subunit ribosomal RNA
Source: RNAcentral
UACGUAGGGUGCGAGCGUUGUCCGGAAUUAUUGGGCGUAAAGAGCUUGUAGGCGGUUUGUCGCGUCUGCUGUGAAAUUUCGGGGCUUAACCCCGAACUUGCAGUGGGUACGGGCAGACUAGAGUGUGGUAGGGGAGACUGGAAUUCCUGGUGUAGCGGUGAAAUGCGCAGAUAUCAGGAGGAACACCGAUGGCGAAGGCAGGUCUCUGGGCCAUAACUGACGCUGAGAAGCGAAAGCUAGGGGAGCAAACGGG